UACAGAGGUGGCAAGCGUUGUUCGGAAUUACUGGGCGUAAAGGGCGCGUAGGCGGCCUUCUAAGUCAGACGUGAAAUCCCCCGGCUUAACCUGGGAACUGCGUCUGAUACUGGAGGGCUUGAGUAUGGGAGAGGGAUGUAGAAUUCCAGGUGUAGCGGCGAAAUGCGUAGAUAUCUGGAGGAACACCGGUGGCGAAGGCGGCAUCCUGGACCAACACUGACGCUGAGGAGCGAAAGCCAGGGGAGCAAACGGG
This 253-nucleotide ribosomal RNA is filed under the name uncultured bacterium. RNAcentral describes it as "partial 16S ribosomal RNA". It matches the Rfam family "Bacterial small subunit ribosomal RNA", at positions 524 to 776 of the family's 1533-position model. The record is from RNAcentral.